Molecule: ribosomal RNA, 390 nt
Filed under: Cytobacillus firmus
Lineage: Bacteria; Bacillati; Bacillota; Bacilli; Caryophanales; Bacillaceae
Description: bacterial SSU rRNA
Rfam family: Bacterial small subunit ribosomal RNA
Source: RNAcentral
CCUUGACGGUACCUGACCAGAAAGCCACGGCUAACUACGUGCCAGCAGCCGCGGUAAUACGUAGGUGGCAAGCGUUGUCCGGAAUUAUUGGGCGUAAAGCGCGCGCAGGCGGUUCUUUAAGUCUGAUGUGAAAGCCCCCGGCUCAACCGGGGAGGGUCAUUGGAAACUGGAGAACUUGAGUGCAGAAGAGAAGAGUGGAAUUCCACGUGUAGCGGUGAAAUGCGUAGAGAUGUGGAGGAACACCAGUGGCGAAGGCGACUCUUUGGUCUGUAACUGACGCUGAGGCGCGAAAGCGUGGGGAGCAAACAGGAUUAGAUACCCUGGUAGUCCACGCCGUAAACGAUGAGUGCUAAGUGUUAGAGGGUUUCCGCCCUUUAGUGCUGCAGCAAA